GCGCCGUCUGUUCAAACGCGAUGUGAUUGGCUGCCUCCCCGCGCAGCCGUUUGAAAAGUUGAGGCGCGCAUUUAGCGCGAGCGCCGCCUUGUUGUUGUUGUUAGCACCGGUUAGCACCUGGAGCUAGCUAGCUAGCUAGCUAGCUAGCAGCGAGCGAGCUGAGUCACUCUGACAAGACUCGAAGCUUUUCCCAAAGAAAGAGAGUGAAGACGACAGGUGAAGGUGAAACGAGAGGAGAUGGAGUUUUAUCUCCCGUGUGGUUGAAGCAGCAGAGGAGUCAGGACGUGAGCACAAACUCGGGUCGCUGUUCCAGGUUGCCGGUGCCUGUCCACACCACUGUGAUGACGGAGAGAGAAAACAGCCCUGAUGUACGAUUCCUGGUCUGUCACGACAGCUUUGUAUCAGUGUAACUUGGAAAGUGGCCUGGAGUUUGUUGAUGGCACCAUGAGCGGAAUUAGACGGCUGCCGCUGCCAAAUGAGGAUGCUGCGACAGAGGCCGGGAAAAUACCUUUAAUCCCAGACAAACAAGCAUCUUUGGCUAGAAACUAGAGAAACGAGUGAAAUGGACCAUGGAGAGGAAAGUGACAAGAGCAAUAACCUGCGGCUUCUGAACGAUUCACAUUGGAAUAAGACUGAUCGCUGUGUUUGGAGGUGAGGACACUUGGUCAAAUGUAAAUGUGUCAUCUCAAGCAGAGGAAAAUAGCCAGCGUAUCUGUUUCUGAUGUGUUAAACCUCCAGCACGGGUUAUUUUGUCUGAUUACAGUACAACUCAGACCCGACUUCAUCCCUUCUACUGACCCUCAUUUCUUUUCCUUUUUUGCUACUCAGGGAGUUAGAUCUAAACUUUGACAUGCACAAAUCACGAGGCUAUCCAGUGUGCAUCCAGGCUGAAAGACGGGACUGACCUUUCGUUCAGGAGAUAUUAUUUGUUGUUAUAGCUGCACAGCAGAGCCGCGAAGGUCUGCUCACUGCUGCUUGCCUGGCUGCAGCGAGUGCAAGGACAUAAGGACAGAAGUAAUGACGGCAAAAUGUUUGAGGAAUGGGCUGUGAUUCCUUUAGUCUGUGGACUGGUUGCCAUGCCCCCACUGUUUAUGUUUACAACACCCCACCACCACCCACACUAUUUCCAUGCCCACACCCGAGAGCUGUGUAGGUGUGUAAAGACUCUGCUUGUUUGACAUCUUCCUCAGCUUCUUGCUCGGCUUCAUCGCUCUGUCAUUUCUGUACGUGGCGUUUGCUGACCUCUCGUAUAGUCCCGAUAUGCUGUUGCUCUGCUUUUUUAGCUUGUUCCUUUAAUGUCAUCAGACAUAAUAUAAGUGAAGGCACCUGUGCUCUCAUGUAGUUCACCUUCACAACUUUGUGGUCAACUUUCGUUUUUUUGACAUAUUGAUUUAAUUUGGGAGUUUUAUUACUCAAUAAUAAGCAAAACUAUCUUGUCAAGACGAAGAAAAAACAGCUUAAACUCCAACUGGAACCUGAUGAAGCUCAUCUGUCUAGUUACUUAUCAUGUAUGAUGGAUUGGUUGCACUUUAAAAUAUAUACAUGUUCCCAACUCCGCUCCGCCACUUGAUUGAGAGCUCCUUCAACUGCUCGGUGAGGAGACGCAGCUCUAGGCAGCUAUUUUCACUGCUAUUGAAAGUUCUUUUAAUUUGAGGGCACUGGUAGUGAGUCUCAUGAAAAGUGGGAGUGGUCUUAAUGGGACCCCGAGGUGGAGGUCGAGUUGAUGCGCUCAAUGUUAUAUGUCUGACUUCUUUUAACUGGCAGGAGAGUUGGGUCAUAUAAUACACAGGCAUGACGGGUGCUGCAGGACUCAACAGAUAUGUCACAGUUGUUUUUUCGGGGGGGUUAUUCUGAUUUUUUUUUGCACCAUAUAUGUGAAAUAUAUGUGGACACUGAAAAAUGUGAAUACUGGUCAAAAUACAGAUUUCUUUUUUUGUGUGUUUUUAAACUUAAAGUUUAUUAGUUAUAGUUUAGAAUUUCAAACCUUUUUUUAUUUACUAUUUUAUUCUCUAUGUAACUAACUAUUAUUGUAGUUAUGCCAAUAUAUAUUGUACCAUCUAAAAUAUUACUGCUGAUACAUUUAUUAUCUCAUUUGAAAAUAAGCAUCUCAAUAGGACUUCCCUGAUGAAAUAAAGGUUAACAUAUGUGAUUAGAGGGUGGGGGUGGCCCAGUGUGACAUUUUGUCAGAGGAGGCAGAAUUUUGAGUAGCACCCCUGCUUGUAAAAACCUUGUAAGCUUCUUUACCAACACACCCAAAGAGAAAAAAAAAACAACUCAUUACUAGCCUCAGAAAAAGAAAAAAACAGACCACGGUUAGGGGUUAAAGUUCACACCACAGGGCACAGAAUGAAAGACCUCUGCUCUCAGGUUAGACAAAUGAAAGGACAGAGAUUGAUUUUUCAUACAACAUCAUCAUAAUCACAUAAUAUUUCAUACAAUCAGUAUUAUCUGAAACUUAGUCAAGUUAAAGGUCCUUUGCAGUUGAAGAAACACUAAUUUCUCUAUCUUGUUUUUGCCUGUUUAUCCAUGGUGUUCAUUAUUUCUUAUAUUAACUAUAUUGCUGAAAUGUCAAAACCAGUACUUACUAUGUGCCGUAGUAACUGCAUGAAAUCUACAACACAAAUUGUACAUUAAAAAAAUUAAGUUUGGAAGCAUUUUUUGCAAACAAGACAGUAUUUUUUCCCCUCUUUUUAAUCAAAAUAUUGUAAAUCAGUCUGAAGAUUAGACUCCAGAUUCCCGACACCUUUCUCGUGGAGAGCGUUUUCUGUAAGAGCUUUUAUUAGUUGCUCUGAAAACACGGCGGGUGCACAGCAGAGACGGAAAGAUGCGGCUGCUCCUGCCAGUAAGCAAUUGGCCGCCUGCUGAGGGUAUGCACUCGCACUGGGAAAUUGAUUUAAUAUAUAUUGUAUGGAGACAUAUCAAUGCAAUCGUGGUGGUCCUUUUUUGUUUUUAAUUUUUUAAGUAUCAACCGUGCAGUUUUUAUGGAUAUCCAUCAAGAGGUCUUUAUCAUGAAGAGACAAAAAAAAGGAGAAGACACACCCGUUCAAAAUGUCAAGUUAGAAAGGUGCUAAUGUGUGUGAUCACAUUAAUCGUCUGACAGGAUCUCACUUCCAGCAGUUAGUCCAUUAUGAUUCACACUGAUGUGAGGUCCAAGUGUCAGGUGUCAUAAUUUAAUUGUGUUGUUUUCUACUUCUCAGGGAUACUUGAGGGAUGCAGCAAAAGCGGCGUAAUGCAGAAGAAGUCCACCUCUGCUCCCGCUCGUUCCCCCUCUCUUUCCCGUUCUCCCUCUCUCUCUUCUUAAUUGGAGACACUGGGGGUUCACGUCACUUUUCACUUUAAUCUUGACCUUAGGAGAUAAACCACUGAUAAAGAUGAGAAUCAUUAUCUGCACAGAAAAUUCAAGGAAUCAUUUCCUCGGCUCAUGUUCUAUUCAUUAAUGGGAGAGCACUUUUGUAGUGGAGGAUAUCUUGAGUUCGCAGACAUGCCCCGAGAUCUCUGACAGAUCCCGGCCGUUGUCGGAGACUGUGUGUUGCCCGGUCAAUUACGUUUUUUAUGAAGAGGAUGCCUUUAAUGAUAUUUGGAAAUUACAUUUGCCAAGUUAUUCAACCUCUUAAGAGCUGUUUAUAAUGGUCUCAGCAGGUGUCUCAACUAAAAACAAUAUUGAAAAUCUGAAAAUGGCUUUAAACAGGGCCGUGCACAACCCUGAUGAAUUGGUCAAAUUAGACCUUCUCCUGAGAAGCACUUCCAUCAAUUAUUCAACAGAACGGAAAUAAAUACUUCCAAGUAAGGUUGCAAACUGAAAGAAAACAGUGAGUUCACCCUGUUUAUUAUCAAUAAAUAAGAAAUUAGACUCUUUUGUCUGACCAUGUGCUAAUAAUAGUGGAUUUAUUACUUAAAAGGUUUUUGGUUUUUUUCUUUUUCAUUUAAUGAUUUUAAACGGCAGUAGACAAAAGCAAGAUUCUCAUUUCUAGCACGAAUAGAUUUUACCAUCAAGCAAACAUUUGUUUUGUGAGAUGGUUUAAAAAAUAUGAUUGUUGGCAUUAUCUUUAAAUGUUUCAAGAUGGCUCUGUUCAAAACAAAAACAAAAGAUCAUUUUUUAUUUAGUGAUUAAAUGCUGUAAAAACUAUCAUUGGCAGGUUGUGAUUGGUCGAGUGCGUGAUUUCAAUACUCCCCUCCACAAUCACUACUGCGCAGACUCUGGCUUCAGUUUUGUAGCUUGUGAGGAAGUAGGGACAUGACGUCCAUCUUCAUAUACAUUGGUUC
Molecule: long non-coding RNA, 4263 nt
Filed under: Scophthalmus maximus (turbot)
Lineage: Eukaryota; Metazoa; Chordata; Actinopteri; Pleuronectiformes; Scophthalmidae
Description: lncRNA (ENSSMAG00000027998.1)
Source: RNAcentral